GCAAAUAUUUAUAUAUAUUUAUAUACUAGUAUAUAAGCCUGUGUAUGACCGGGAUGAGUGAGCUAUUUCUCUUCAAGGACAUAAAUAUUUAUGGCAGCAUGAUCUCUGUAUUAUUUUUUCUCAAUAAAUGACAUUUUCCAGUCUGUUGAUUUUAAAAAGUGAAUGAAUUGAGGCCCUGCCAUAGAUCAUUUAAAGGAUUGCAAACUGCUCAGAAUGGCAAUCGAAAGCACAAGCUCAGCACCAAAUACUUUCCAAGGAAUGAGACCGGAAGAGUCCAGUUCUUCUGGAUGAAAAGUCAUGUUUCCAGAUAGUCGACAAGUCUCUGGUUCUGGAUCAAAUCAAGUUUCUGGAUGGAAAGUCGUGUUUUGUCCAACAACAAAAAAUAGUCGGAAUAAAUCCAAAAUAUCCGUUGAAUUCCGUUUUAUUUCAGGCCAAUAUAUUAUUGCAUCUGCUAUUUUGAAUUCAGAAAAACUAUCAUCAGAUUCCUGUUUUUUUACCCCAUGAAUCUCCAUAUACU
This 517-nucleotide long non-coding RNA is filed under the name Androctonus crassicauda. Lineage: Eukaryota; Metazoa; Arthropoda; Arachnida; Scorpiones; Buthidae. The record is from RNAcentral.